This 253-nucleotide ribosomal RNA is filed under the name uncultured bacterium. RNAcentral's name for it is "partial 16S ribosomal RNA". It matches the Rfam family "Bacterial small subunit ribosomal RNA", at positions 524 to 776 of the family's 1533-position model. The record is from RNAcentral.
UACGUAGGGUGCGAGCGUUGUCCGGAAUUAUUGGGCGUAAAGGGCUCGUAGGCGGUUUGUCGCGUCGGGUGUGAAAUCCACUGGCUUAACUGGUGGAUUGCUUUCGAUACGGGCAGACUGGAGGUAUGCAGGGGAGAACGGAAUUCCUGGUGUAGCGGUGAAAUGCGCAGAUAUCAGGAGGAACACCGGUGGCGAAGGCGGUUCUCUGGGCAUGUCCUGACGCUGAUGCGCGACAGCAUGGGGAGCAAACAGG